Long non-coding RNA from Homo sapiens (human), 1321 nucleotides. RefSeq annotates it as ZFHX3 antisense RNA 1. The record is from RefSeq and is marked validated. Lineage: Eukaryota; Metazoa; Chordata; Mammalia; Primates; Hominidae. The transcript is spliced from 5 exons.
GAGGUGGCUUCCGGCCGCCAGGCGAGACUCCGCGGGAAAACUCCCUGCUAGAGAGACUAGGAGAUUUGGGGCUGCGGCCGUUUCCUCCGGAGCACCCACGGGACUGUGUGCUGGGGUCCCUCCACCGGCUGUGUCCUUUAUUCUUCUUUCUCACCCAACGAUUUACCUGAACGGUUAUAAAGUGCACGUUAUUUCCCUAAGCACUUUGAGUAUAUUGGCCCACUGCAUUCUGGACUUCAAAAUUUCUGAUGCGAAAUAUGCUGAUACUUUUGUUGAAGAAAUCUGGUCCUUCUUACUGAUGUGUUGCUCUUCUUCAUGGCUCGUGAAAACUAUUAGAGUCAUCCAAGGGUGGGAAGAGAGAUCAGCAACGUUAACUGGGUGUCAAGAAAACAUACCGAGAUUGAAGCCAUCCACUUCUGCAGGAACACCGAAAAGAAAGGACUGUGAAGACAACCAGAGUGGGAAGGAACCUCAGAAACCUUUGGACCAACAGAGGAAAAAGCCCAGAGGUGCAGGACAUAGAUCAAAACCAGUCGCAUGCGAGUCAUUCUAGGAUCCGGCCAAAGUUAAUUAACAGAGGGCCAUUCAGUCUCCACCGAGUCAAACAAUAAUUAGGUUAGUUAGGGUCUUUGAGCCCCAACACAGUCUAGACUCUGAGACACUGCAAUAUAACAAUAUUCUUCUGGUUUCUUCUCCAUUCCAAAUCUAUCUUCCUAAAAUACUAAAUUUUAAGAGUGAAAGUGAACUUGUGAACAUAAACAGGUAAAAUGUGGGUGUGUGUCCAGAAUGGUGACAGACAGGGAGAACUGCUGAAUAUAACUUAUCAGAACCUUACAAACUGGCCUUCCCUCAUGAUCCACCUAGGGUUUCUUUUUACUAGUCAGGUUCCACAGGAAAAUGUGAGAACUUAUACUUAGGGAAGAAAGACAUUACUCAGGUCCCUGCAAGGCUGGAAAAUGGGAAUGAUUCUCCACUUUCCCCUCCAGAUUUAAGCACUACAAAGACUGUCAACAUCUCUUGGCAUUUUGUACAGUACAGAGAGAUAGACACCCUACAUUGUGUAAUGUUUAUAUUUAAUAUCAGUGCUGCUUUCCGUCUCCAUUGAGUUCCCACAUUCAGCUCACUCACAGCGCUCCAAAGGCCUAGGAUAAGUGACCUGUGUGAAGACAUGGGGAGGCGGUUCUGGAGCACCUUCAGGUACUCCUCAGGAACUGAUGUUUUUUCACUUGUUGUUUGCCUAAGGCCAAGUUCUCUUUACCCGAAGGCAUCAUUCAGCCCCCCUUGCUAGGUAAUAAAGCACAAUAUUUUGUAGCGCUGGUCA